ACUUAAAUAAUUUAAAUAAAAUAUUGAUUUGUGGAGUCAGAAAUAUGAUGAAUUCAUUUUAGGUU
RNAcentral lists this transfer RNA (65 nucleotides) under Polyura narcaeus (China nawab). Its description in RNAcentral is "tRNA-His". The record is from RNAcentral. Lineage: Eukaryota; Metazoa; Arthropoda; Insecta; Lepidoptera; Nymphalidae.